RNAcentral lists this ribosomal RNA (253 nucleotides) under uncultured bacterium. Its description in RNAcentral is "partial 16S ribosomal RNA". It matches the Rfam family "Bacterial small subunit ribosomal RNA", at positions 524 to 776 of the family's 1533-position model. The record is from RNAcentral.
UACAGAGGGUGCAAGCGUUAAUCGGAUUUACUGGGCGUAAAGCGUGCGUAGGCGGUUCAUUAAGUCGGUUGUGAAAUCCCUGGGCUUAACCUGGGAACUGCAGUCGAUACUGGUGAACUAGAAUGCGGUAGAGGGUGGCGGAACUCCGAGUGUAGCGGUGAAAUGCGUAGAUAUCCGGAAGAACACCGAUGGCGAAGGCAACCACCUGGGCCUGCAUUGACGCUGAGGUACGAAAGCGUGGGGAGCAAACAGG